Molecule: ribosomal RNA, 119 nt
Filed under: Pteropus alecto (black flying fox)
Lineage: Eukaryota; Metazoa; Chordata; Mammalia; Chiroptera; Pteropodidae
Source: RNAcentral
GUCUACGGCCACGCCCUCCUGAACAAGCCCGAUCCCGUCUGACCUCAGAAGCUAAGCAGGGUCGGGCCUGGUUAGUACUUGGAUGGGAGACCACCUAGGAAGACCAGGUGCUGUAGGCG